AAGGGCACCACAAGAACGCGUGGAGCAUGUGGCUUAAUUUGACUCAACGCAGGAAAUCUUACCGGGUCCGGACACACUGAGGAUUGACAGACAAGCGCAGUGAGAGAUUCGUCUCUCGCUGUGCAAAAUAUGAUAGCUCUUUCAUAAUUAUGUGAUAGGUGGUGCAUGGCCGUUCUUAGUUCGUGGAGUGAUCUGUCUGCUUAAUUGCGCUUCCAUACAAAGGUGUUCGCAUAAUAUAACGCGUUGUACGUCCGCGUACAUCGUAUUGUAUUGAACCCUUUAGGAAUGCAACGAACGAGACCGCAACCUCUUGUUGCACCUUCAGCUGCUCAAGGUGCUCAACUAGAGGGACAGCUGUAUUUAUUUCUUUUAGCCAGAGGAAGGAUGCGGCAAUAACAGGUCUGUGAUGCCCUCAGAUGUCCCGGGCUGCACACGUGCUACAAUGAUCAUUGCACUGCGCAUCUUCUAACCAAGCUAAUUUAUAUCCCUCACCGGAUAUAUUUUGCUAUACACACCCGAGUCGAUAGACAACCUUCUCGGGUAACCCAUUAGAAGUAAUGAUUUCCUAUAUUUCAGCACAUACAUCGUUAUGUGGUCAUGUGCAUUGCACUUCGGUGUAUGCACUCUAUGAUUACGUAACGCGUGCAAAUAUCAAUUCAUGGUGGGGACAGACCAUUGAUAAUUGUUGGUCUCGGUCUUAACUGGGAAUGCCUUGUACGAGUCGGUUCACCAGACCACUCGGAAUACGUCCCUGCCCUUUGUACACACCGCCCGUCGCUCUUACCGAUGGACUUCGCUGUGAGUUUGAGGGACUGGCCGCAUUUCGCGGCUAUAGAAACUCAAACGAACAGUGUGGUCUAAAGGAAAGAGAAGU
RNAcentral lists this ribosomal RNA (874 nucleotides) under Cribroelphidium frigidum. RNAcentral describes it as "SSU rRNA". It matches the Rfam family "Eukaryotic small subunit ribosomal RNA", at positions 1160 to 1789 of the family's 1831-position model. Lineage: Eukaryota; Foraminifera; Rotaliida; Elphidiidae. The record is from RNAcentral.